AGUGAACGCUGGCGGCAGGCCUAACACAUGCAAGUCGAGCGGAAGAAGAGUACUUGCUCCUGGUUUCGGCGGCGGACGGGUGGGUAAUGCCGAGGAAUCUGCCUGGUAGUGGGGGAUAACGUCCGGAAACGGGCGCUAAUACCGCAUACGUCCUGAGGGCGAACGUGGGGAAUCAUCGGACCUCACGCUAUCACACGAGCCUAGGUCGGAUUAGCUAGUUGGUGGGGUAAAGGCCUACCAAGGCGACGAUCCGUAACUGGUCUGAGAGGAUGAUCAGUCACACUGGAACUGAGACACGGUCCAGACUCCUACGGGAGGCAGCAGUGGGGAAUAUUGGACAAUGGGCGAAAGCCUGAUCCAGCCAUGCCGCGUGUGUGAAGAAGGUCUUCGGAUUGUAAAGCACUUUUAGUUGGGAGGAAGGGCAGUAAGUUAAUACCUUGCUGUUUUGACGUUACCAACAGAAUAAGCACCGGCUAACUUCGUG
RNAcentral lists this ribosomal RNA (484 nucleotides) under uncultured bacterium. Its description in RNAcentral is "partial 16S ribosomal RNA". It matches the Rfam family "Bacterial small subunit ribosomal RNA", at positions 29 to 507 of the family's 1533-position model. The record is from RNAcentral.